This 481-nucleotide ribosomal RNA is filed under the name uncultured Gammaproteobacteria bacterium. RNAcentral's name for it is "partial 16S ribosomal RNA". It matches the Rfam family "Bacterial small subunit ribosomal RNA", at positions 1 to 466 of the family's 1533-position model. The record is from RNAcentral. Lineage: Bacteria; Pseudomonadati; Pseudomonadota; Gammaproteobacteria.
GGCCGCGGGAAUUCGAUUAGAGUUUGAUCAUGGCUCAGAUUGAACGCUGGCGGCAUGCUCAACACAUGCAAGUCGAACGGCAGCAUAACCUAGCUUGCUAGGUUGAUGGCGAGUGGCGAACGGGUGAGUAACGCGUAGGAAUAUACCUUAAAGAGGGGGACAACUUGGGGAAACUCAAGCUAAUACCGCAUAAGUUCUGAGGAAGAAAGCUGGGGACCUUCGGGCCUAGCGCUUUAAGAUUAGCCUGCGUACGAUUAGCUAGUUGGUGGGGUAAGGGCCUACCAAGGCGACGAUCGUUAGCUGGUCUGAGAGGAUGACCAGCCACACUGGAACUGAGACACGGUCCAGACUCCUACGGGAGGCAGCAGUGGGGAAUAUUGGACAAUGGGGGGAACCCUGAUCCAGCAAUGCCGCGUGUGUGAAGAAGGCCUGAGGGUUGUAAAGCACUUUCAGUGGGGAGGAGGGUUGAUAGGUUAAGAGC